AUGUGGGUGCAGGGCCCAAGCACUUGGGCCAUCCUCCACUGCCUUCCCAGGGAGCUGGGUCAGAAGCGAAGCAGCCAGGUCUCAAACCAGCACCCAUAUGGGAUGCUGUCAUCUGAGGCGGUGGCUUUGCCCGCUACGCCACAGCAUGGCCCCCGAUGGAGUGAUUUCUGGAGCGAGGAGGGACUCUGCCUGUGCCCUCGUGGCCUGCACCAUUUCCCUCCUGUCACGGGGACUCCUGGGUCACUUCCCAGGGGCCAGUCCUGCUGGAGGGACUCGGCCAGCGCCUGGGGGCCGCUGUGCCGGCUGCAGAACUGCGCUGUGACGGCUGCAGAACCGCGCUGUGCCAGCUGCAGAACCGCGCUGUGCCGGCUGCAGAACCGCGCUGUGCCGGCUGCAGAACCCUGCUGUGCUGGCUGCAGAACCGCGCUGUGCCGGCUGCAGAACCGCGCUGUGCCGGCUGCAGAACCCUGCUGUGCCGGCUGCAGAACCGCGCUGUGCCGGCUGCAGAACCCUGCUGUGCUGGCUGCAGAACCGCGCUGUGCCGGCUGCAGAACCGCGCUGUGCCGGCUGCAGAACCCUGCUGUGCCGGCUGCAGAACCGUGCUGUGCCGGCUGCAGAACCGCGCUGUGCCAGCUGCAGAACCCUGCUGUGCUGGCUGCAGAACCGCGCUGUGCCGGCUGCAGAACCCUGCUGUGCCGGCUGCAGAACCCUGCUGUGCCGGCUGCAGAACCGCGCUGUGCCAGCUGCAGAACCGCGCUGUGCCGGCUGCAGAACCGCGCUGUGCCGGCUGCAGAACCGUGCUGUGCCGGCUGCAGAACCGCGCUGUGCCGGCUGCAGAACCCUGCUGUGCUGGCUGCAGAACCGCGCUGUGCCGGCUGCAGAACCGCGCUGUGCCAGCUGCAGAACCGCGCUGUGCCGGCUGCAGAACCGCGCUGUGCCAGCUGCAGAACCGCGCUGUGCCGGCUGCAGAACCGCGCUGUGCCGGCUGCAGAACCGUGCUGUGCCGGCUGCAGAACCGCGCUGUGCCGGCUGCAGAACCCUGCUGUGCUGGCUGCAGAACCGCGCUGUGCCGGCUGCAGAACCGCGCUGUGCCGGCUGCAGAACCCUGCUGUGCCGGCUGCAGAACCGCGCUGUGCCGGCUGCAGAACCGCGCUGUGCCAGCUGCAGAACCCUGCUGUGCCGGCUGCAGAACCGCGCUGUGCCGGCUGCAGAACCGCGCUGUGCGUGCUCAGUCCGCAGAGCUUCAGGCCCCUGCGUCUCCUCUGCUUUUGCGAGUUGCCCAAGUGCUCUUCUCUGCCCCACGCGGGCUGGUGCUCGUGCGUUCCCUGUGUGUGUCUGUCCUUCGUGGUUUUCACCAGCUGUUUCAGUAGCUGUUUAGCGACCCCUCCCCCCAGGGUUCCAAGCAGGCGCAGGUGGGCGAGUGGCGCUGUGUGCUGGGCGAGCAUCUCUGCGGCUCUCCUGUCAUUGCUUCUCUCCCCUUGUCGCACAUCCCGCUGGUGUGCAGGCGCCGGGGCCUUCUCCUCUCGCUCCCUGACGUAG
Molecule: long non-coding RNA, 1539 nt
Filed under: Oryctolagus cuniculus (rabbit)
Lineage: Eukaryota; Metazoa; Chordata; Mammalia; Lagomorpha; Leporidae
Description: lncRNA (ENSOCUG00000029965.1)
Source: RNAcentral